UAGGGAAUCUUCGGCAAUGGGGGCAACCCUGACCGAGCAACGCCGCGUGAGUGAAGAAGGUUUUCGGAUCGUAAAGCUCUGUUGUAAGUCAAGAACGAGUGUGAGAGUGGAAAGUUCACACUGUGACGGUAGCUUACCAGAAAGGGACGGCUAACUACGUGCCAGCAGCCGCGGUAAUACGUAGGUCCCGAGCGUUGUCCGGAUUUAUUGGGCGUAAAGCGAGCGCAAGCGGUUUGAUAAGUCUGAAGUUAAAGGCUGUGGCUCAACCAUAGUUCGCUUUGGAAACUGUCAAACUUGAGUGCAGAAGGGGAGAGUGGAAUUCCAUGUGUAGCGGUGAAAUGCGUAGAUAUAUGGAGGAACACCGGUGGCGAAAGCGGCUCUCUGGUCUGUAACUGACGCUGAGGCUCGAAAGCGUGGGGAGCGAACAGGAUUAGAUACCCUGGUAGUCCACGCCGUAAACGAUGAGUGCUAGGUGUUGGAUCCUUUCCGGGAUUCAGUGCCGCAGCUAACGCAUUAAGCACUCCGCCUGGGGAGUACGACCGCAAGGUUG
RNAcentral lists this ribosomal RNA (550 nucleotides) under uncultured bacterium. RNAcentral describes it as "bacterial SSU rRNA". It matches the Rfam family "Bacterial small subunit ribosomal RNA", at positions 355 to 896 of the family's 1533-position model. The record is from RNAcentral.